RNAcentral lists this unclassified non-coding RNA (386 nucleotides) under soil metagenome. RNAcentral describes it as "partial contains 5.8S ribosomal RNA, internal transcribed spacer 2, and large subunit ribosomal RNA". The stretch from base 1 to 120 matches the Rfam family "5.8S ribosomal RNA", at positions 35 to 154 of the family's 154-position model. The record is from RNAcentral.
GAUGAAGAACGCAGCGAAAUGCGAUAAGUAAUGUGAAUUGCAGAAUUCAGUGAAUCAUCGAAUCUUUGAACGCACCUUGCACCCUUUGGUAUUCCGAAGGGUAUGCUCGUUUGAGUGUCAUUGUACUCUCACACUUCUAAUUCCUUUCGGGAUUGGGAGCGGUGGACUUGGGUGUUGCUGCUUUAGUUGUGGCUCACCUCAAAUAAGUUAGUGCAACUCUUGGUUGGACAUAGUACGGCGUGAUAAGUGUCUUCGCCGGCGCCUCUGUAAGGAGGGUGGCCGAUCGGGAGCUCUGUGCUUCAAACCGUCUUCGGACAAUCUUUGACAACUUGACCUCAAAUCGAGUAGGACUACCCGCUGAACUUAAGCAUAUCAAUAAGCGGAGG